This 254-nucleotide ribosomal RNA is filed under the name uncultured bacterium. RNAcentral describes it as "partial 16S ribosomal RNA". It matches the Rfam family "Bacterial small subunit ribosomal RNA", at positions 524 to 776 of the family's 1533-position model. The record is from RNAcentral.
UACGUAGGGAGCAAGCGUUGUCCGGAUUUAUUGGGCGUAAAGAGCUCGUAGGCGGUUCGGUAAGUCGGGUGUGAAAACUCUGGGCUCAACCCAGAGAUGCCACUCGAUACUGCUGUGACUUGAGUCUGGUAGGGGAGCACGGAAUUCCUGGUGUAGCGGUGAAAUGCGCAGAUAUCAGGAGGAACACCAGUGGCGAAGGCGCCACUCUGGGCCGUAACUGACGCUGAGGAGCGAAAGCGUGGGUAGCAAACAGG